Molecule: ribosomal RNA, 276 nt
Filed under: Staphylococcus aureus
Lineage: Bacteria; Bacillati; Bacillota; Bacilli; Caryophanales; Staphylococcaceae
Description: partial 16S ribosomal RNA
Rfam family: Bacterial small subunit ribosomal RNA
Source: RNAcentral
GAGGUCAAGCAAAUCCCAUAAAGUUGUUCUCAGUUCGGAUUGUAGUCUGCAACUCGACUACAUGAAGCUGGAAUCGCUAGUAAUCGUAGAUCAGCAUGCUACGGUGAAUACGUUCCCGGGUCUUGUACACACCGCCCGUCACACCACGAGAGUUUGUAACACCCGAAGCCGGUGGAGUAACCUUUUAGGAGCUAGUCGUCGAAGGUGGGACAAAUGAUUGGGGUGAAGUCGUAACAAGGUAGCCGUAUCGGAAGGUGCGGCUGGAUCACCUCCUUU